This 22-nucleotide unclassified non-coding RNA is filed under the name Acacia pachyacra. RNAcentral describes it as "partial small subunit rRNA". The record is from RNAcentral. Lineage: Eukaryota; Viridiplantae; Streptophyta; Magnoliopsida; Fabales; Fabaceae.
CAAAGAUUAAGCUGCAUGUGAC